UUCGCCCUUCGGUUGAUCCUGCCGGACCCCACUGCUAUCGAGGUGGGACUAAGCCAUGCUAGUUGAGCGCACAGAACUAUGUCUGUGAGCGGCACACUGCUCAGUAACACGUAGCUAACCUACCCUUAGGACGUGGACAACCCCGAGAAAUUGGGGCUAAUCCGCGAUAGAUGUAUUGUCCUGGAAUGGUAUUACGUCUAAAGGUAUCCCAUACAUGUUUGGUAUAUGCCUAAGGAUGGGGCUGCGGCCGAUCAGGCUGUUGGUGAGGUAAUGGCUCACCAAACCUUUGACCGGUACGGGCCAUGAGAGUGGUAGCCCGGAGAUGGACACUGAGACAAGGGUCCAGGCCCUACGGGGCGCAGCAGGCGCGAAACCUCCUCAAUGCACUUACGUGCGAAGGGGCUACCUCGAGUGCCACCUGAUGAAGGUGGCUUUUCCUAGGUCUAAAAAGCCUUGGGAAUAAGAGGGGGGCAAGACUGGUGUCAGCCGCCGCGGUAACACCAGCCCCUCGAGUGGUGGGGAUGAUUAUUGGGCCUAAAGCGUCCGUAGCCUGCCGUGUAAGUUUCCCGUUAAAUCCAGCGUCUUAAGCGUUGGACCGCGGGAAAUACUGUACGGCUAGAGAGUGGGAGAGGUCAGCGGUAUUCUGGGGGUAGGGGCGAAAUCCUUUGAUCCCCGGAGGACCACCAGUGGCGAAGGCUGCUGUCUAGAACACGUCUGACGGUCAGGGACGAAAGCUGGGGUAGCGAACCGGAUUAGAUACCCGGGUAGUCCCAGCCGUAAACGAUGCAUGCUAGGUGUUGGGUUGGCCACGAGCCACCC
RNAcentral lists this ribosomal RNA (819 nucleotides) under uncultured archaeon. RNAcentral describes it as "bacterial SSU rRNA". It matches the Rfam family "Archaeal small subunit ribosomal RNA", at positions 1 to 795 of the family's 1478-position model. The record is from RNAcentral.